AUGCUUAGUGGCAUUGACUUGGACUCAGGAAUCAGGUUGAAACAAGCUUUUGUCUCUGUUUACAUGUCAUUGGAUUUUCUAAGUCUGGGAAAUCUGACCAUCUUCUUAAAAACCAGGAUGCUUGAUGACACAAACAAAUUAUCCAAGUGCGUCCAGAUUGCACGACUCUAUUUGGAGUGCUGCUGUAUAACAUGCACAAUGUUGGCUGGUGCUGGCCCACAACGCUCUCGUGUUCUUGCUACAUUGUACAAGGUUGUUCCUGGCUGUGGUCACGGAGUUCUACAUAAUACAGACCAAAAAUAUUCAUGCCAAAGGGAAUUCGCAUUGAAAUAUUUACCCGAGGACCCACUUUCUCAGUGCAACAUAUUAUUAUUCCCUUUCAGGAACGAAGAUCUGAAUCACCCUCACCCCUCUAGAGAAAUCAACAUGUGGAUCGGGACAUGUCACAUUGGCUCUUUGUUGUGUUGCUAA
This 471-nucleotide ribosomal RNA is filed under the name Triticum aestivum (bread wheat). Its description in RNAcentral is "partial small subunit ribosomal RNA". The record is from RNAcentral. Lineage: Eukaryota; Viridiplantae; Streptophyta; Magnoliopsida; Poales; Poaceae.